RNAcentral lists this ribosomal RNA (253 nucleotides) under uncultured bacterium. RNAcentral describes it as "partial 16S ribosomal RNA". It matches the Rfam family "Bacterial small subunit ribosomal RNA", at positions 524 to 776 of the family's 1533-position model. The record is from RNAcentral.
UACAGAGGUGGCAAGCGUUGUUCGGAAUUACUGGGCGUAAAGGGCGCGUAGGUGGCCUCUUGAGUCAGACGUGAAAUCCCCCGGCUUAACCUGGGAACUGCCUGUCAGACUGGAAGGCUUGAGACCGGGAGAGGUGAGUGGAAUUCCCAGUGUAGCGGUGAAAUGCGUAGAUAUUGGGAGGAACACCAGUGGCGAAGGCGGCUCACUGGACCGGAACUGACGCUGAGGCGCGAAAGCGUGGGGAGCAAACAGG